GACGAACGCUGGCGGCGUGCCUAAUACAUGCAAGUUGAGCGAUGAAGAUUGGUGCUUGCACCAAUUUGAAGAGCAGCGAACAGGUGAGUAACGCGUGGGGAAUCUGCCUUUGAGCGGGGGACAACAUUUGGAAACGAAUGCUAAUACCGCAUAACAACUUUAAACAUAAGUUUUAAGUUUGAAAGAUGCAAUUGCAUCACUCAAAGAUGAUCCCGCGUUGUAUUAGCUAGUUGGUGAGGUAAAGGCUCACCAAGGCGAUGAUACAUAGCCGACCUGAGAGGGUGAUCGGCCACAUUGGGACUGAGACACGGCCCAAACUCCUACGGGAGGCAGCAGUAGGGAAUCUUCGGCAAUGGACGAAAGUCUGACCGAGCAACGCCGCGUGAGUGAAGAAGGUUUUCGGAUCGUAAAACUCUGUUGGUAGAGAAGAACGUUGGUGAGAGUGGAAAGCUCAUCAAGUGACGGUAACUACCCAGAAAGGGACGGCUAACUACGUG
RNAcentral lists this ribosomal RNA (497 nucleotides) under uncultured bacterium. RNAcentral describes it as "partial 16S ribosomal RNA". It matches the Rfam family "Bacterial small subunit ribosomal RNA", at positions 28 to 507 of the family's 1533-position model. The record is from RNAcentral.